GAGCACGCCGCGUGAGUGAUGAAGGCUUUCGGGUCGUAAAACUCUGUUGUUAGGGAAGAACAAGUGCUAGUUGAAUAAGCUGGCACCUUGACGGUACCUAACCAGAAAGCCACGGCUAACUACGUGCCAACAGCCGCGGUAAUACGUAGGUGGCAAGCGUUAUCCGGAAUUAUUGGGCGUAAAGCGCGCGCAGGUGGUUUCUUAAGUCUGAUGUGAAAGCCCACGGCUCAACCGUGGAGGGUCAUUGGAAACUGGGAGACUUGAGUGCAGAAGAGGAAAGUGGAAUUCCAUGUGUAGCGGUGAAAUGCGUAGAGAUAUGGAGGAACACCAGUGGCGAAGGCGACUUUCUGGUCUGUAACUGACACUGAGGCGCGAAAGCGUGGGGAGCAAACAGGAUUAGAUACCCUGGUAGUCCACGCCGUAAACGAUGAGUGCUAAGUGUUAGAGGGUUUCCGCCCUUUAGUGCUGAAG
This 471-nucleotide ribosomal RNA is filed under the name Bacillus cereus. RNAcentral describes it as "bacterial SSU rRNA". It matches the Rfam family "Bacterial small subunit ribosomal RNA", at positions 389 to 851 of the family's 1533-position model. Lineage: Bacteria; Bacillati; Bacillota; Bacilli; Caryophanales; Bacillaceae. The record is from RNAcentral.